Molecule: ribosomal RNA, 261 nt
Filed under: uncultured bacterium
Lineage: Bacteria
Description: partial 16S ribosomal RNA
Rfam family: Bacterial small subunit ribosomal RNA
Source: RNAcentral
UACGUAGGGUGCGAGCGUUAAUCGGAAUUACUGGGCGUAAAGCGUGCGCAGGCGGUUUGACAAGUCUGAUGUGAAAUCCCCGGGCUCAACCUGGGAACUGCGUUGGAAACUGUCAGGCUAGAGUGUGGCAGAGGGGGGUAGAAUUCCACGUGUAGCAGUGAAAUGCGUAGAUAUGCGGAGGAACACCGAUGGCGAAGGCAAUCCCCUGGACCUGUACUGACGCUCAUGCACGAAAGCGUGGGGAGCAAACAGGAUUAGAUA